RNAcentral lists this ribosomal RNA (578 nucleotides) under uncultured Sphingomonadaceae bacterium. Its description in RNAcentral is "bacterial SSU rRNA". It matches the Rfam family "Bacterial small subunit ribosomal RNA", at positions 790 to 1368 of the family's 1533-position model. Lineage: Bacteria; Pseudomonadati; Pseudomonadota; Alphaproteobacteria; Sphingomonadales; Sphingomonadaceae. The record is from RNAcentral.
GUAGUCCACGCCGUAAACGAUGUCUGCUAGCCGUCGGGAUCCUUGAGGUCUCGGUGGCGCAGCUAACGCGAUAAGCAGACCGCCUGGGGAGUACGGCCGCAAGGUUAAAACUCAAAUGAAUUGACGGGGGCCCGCACAAGCGGUGGAGCAUGUGGUUUAAUUCGAUGCAACGCGAAGAACCUUACCAGGUCUUGACAUCCAGCGAACUGCCGAGAGAUCGGCGGGUGCCUUCGGGAGCGCUGAGACAGGUGCUGCAUGGCUGUCGUCAGCUCGUGUCGUGAGAUGUUGGGUUAAGUCCCGUAACGAGCGCAACCCUUAUUCUAUGUUGCCAGCGGAUAAUGCCGGGGACUCGUAGAAGACUGCCGAGGUAACUCGGAGGAAGGCGGGGAUGAGGUCAAGUCAUCAUGCCCCUUAUGUCCAGGGCUGCAAACACGCUACAAUGGCCGGUACAAAGGGCUGCGAACCCGCGAGGGUGAGCGAAUCCCAGAAAGCCGGUCUCAGUUCGGAUUGGAGGCUGCAACUCGCCUCCAUGAAGCUGGAGUUGCUAGUAAUCCCGGAUCAGCACGCCGGGGUGAAUA